Molecule: ribosomal RNA, 441 nt
Filed under: uncultured bacterium
Lineage: Bacteria
Description: bacterial SSU rRNA
Rfam family: Bacterial small subunit ribosomal RNA
Source: RNAcentral
AUUGAACGCUGGCGGAAUGCUUUACACAUGCAAGUCGAGCGGCAGCGCGGUCUUCGGACUGGCGGCGAGCGGCGAACGGGUGAGUAAUACAUCGGAACAUGCCCAGUCGUGGGGGAUAACACUUCGAAAGAAGUGCUAAUACCGCAUACGUCCUGAGGGAGAAAGCGGGGGAUCGCAAGACCUCGCGCGAUUGGAGUGGCCGAUGUCAGAUUAGCUAGUUGGUGGGGUAAAGGCCUACCAAGGCAACGAUCUGUAGCUGGUCUGAGAGGAUGAUCAGCCACACUGGGACUGAGACACGGCCCAGACUCCUACGGGAGGCAGCAGUGGGGAAUUUUGGACAAUGGGGGCAACCCUGAUCCAGCCAUUCCGCGUGAGUGAAGAAGGCCUUCGGGUUGUAAAGCUCUUUCGGCAGGAACGAAACGGUGAGCUCUAACAUAGCUC